This 465-nucleotide ribosomal RNA is filed under the name Vreelandella stevensii. RNAcentral's name for it is "partial 16S ribosomal RNA". It matches the Rfam family "Bacterial small subunit ribosomal RNA", at positions 338 to 795 of the family's 1533-position model. The record is from RNAcentral. Lineage: Bacteria; Pseudomonadati; Pseudomonadota; Gammaproteobacteria; Oceanospirillales; Halomonadaceae.
CCUACGGGUGGCAGCAGUGGGGAAUAUUGGACAAUGGGCGAAAGCCUGAUCCAGCCAUGCCGCGUGUGUGAAGAAGGCCUUCGGGUUGUAAAGCACUUUCAGUGGGGAAGAAAGCCUUGGGGCUAAUACCCUCGAGGAAGGACAUCACCCACAGAAGAAGCACCGGCUAACUCCGUGCCAGCAGCCGCGGUAAUACGGAGGGUGCGAGCGUUAAUCGGAAUUACUGGGCGUAAAGCGCGCGUAGGCGGUCUGAUAAGCCGGUUGUGAAAGCCCCGGGCUCAACCUGGGAACGGCAUCCGGAACUGUCAGGCUAGAGUGCAGGAGAGGAAGGUAGAAUUCCCGGUGUAGCGGUGAAAUGCGUAGAGAGCGGGAGGAAUACCAGUGGCGAAGGCGGCCUUCUGGACUGACACUGACGCUGAGGUGCGAAAGCAUGGGUAGCAAACAGGAUUAGAUACCCCAGUAGUC